AUGAGCGGUGACAAGGAACAAGCGUCUUCCUCGUUGGACACUGGUAAAGACUAUAGCUUGAACAACAAACAUGUGUGCGCGAGAAAUGGCAAAAGAAAGGCCGCGGGAGACAACACCAAGAAACACCCAAGAAAAACAAAAGGAAUGUGGACCAGGAUAAAAAAUCAGUGGCUGACCAAAAACGUAAGUAGCAAGCAGCCUGGGUUUUAUAUUCAGGGGAAGGGCAAAAGGAACAUCUAGGCUACAGAAGAGAGUAAUUUGUGUCACAGCGGUAGUAAAACAAGAUUUGCGUUUGUCUGUUUAGGUGAAUUCGAAGCCAGAUAUGUGGAGGAGCACCAGCUCGGAGAAGGAGGCUGCGGAGCAGUGUUUGCUGGCUACCGGAUAGAAGAUCGUUUUCCUGUAAGUGUUCAGGCGAUGGUAGUAAGACAGGCAGUAACGCAGAUAAUGUAUAAUAUCGUAAGCUGAGAGGUGUGCUGUGUUUCCACCUUUAAUUAUGUCAUACUGAGGAAAUGCUCACCAAUGCUCUGUGUCUUUUAGGUAGCCAUCAAACACAUUCCCAAAAAUAAAGUGUACUGCAAAGUGGCGGUAAGUGUCCAACACUUGAAUCAGUUUUACAUUACUGGAUUGAAUGCGGCGUUCCUCAUCAUCCACUUGGUAAUAUUUCAGGAUGAAAGCGGGAAGAAGCUCUCUGUGGAAGUGGCCAUUAUGCUGAAACUUGCAGGUGAAGCAGAAGGGUCAGUGGGAACAUCAGCACCUGUGUCCUUGCUGGAGUGGUUCGACAUUGGCAGAGAACUGAUACUGGUGCUGGAGAGACCUGUCCCUGCUGUGGACCUGCAAAAAUAUAAAGCAGAAAAUGGAGGAUCUUUACCAGAGGACAAGGCCAAGGUAGGUUGACUGGAAGAACCUCAGACUGUACAGCAUACAAUCAAGGCGGAGAGUAAUAGAGAAGCAUUAACCCAUUGACUCAUUAUUGUGUUUUUCAUCUUUUCCAGGUCAUUCUGAAGCAACUAGUUGGUGUGGACCCACCACGGUGUGGCAAAUGGGAGUGGUGUUGUAUGAAGCGCUUCAUCCACGGGACUUUAAUACCACGAGGUUCCUCAGAAAGAAACUCAAAAAGCAUCUGUCCACAGGUAGAAAACUUGACACUUCCAG
RNAcentral lists this long non-coding RNA (1152 nucleotides) under Oreochromis niloticus (Nile tilapia). RNAcentral's name for it is "lncRNA (ENSONIG00000029951.1)". The record is from RNAcentral. Lineage: Eukaryota; Metazoa; Chordata; Actinopteri; Cichliformes; Cichlidae.